Molecule: long non-coding RNA, 1464 nt
Filed under: Homo sapiens (human)
Lineage: Eukaryota; Metazoa; Chordata; Mammalia; Primates; Hominidae
Description: novel transcript
Source: RNAcentral
CCUGUCUCCUUCUGUACUGUGGAAGCUUUGCUCUUUUACUCUGCAAUAAAUCUUGCUGCUGCUAACUGUUUGGGUCCACGCUACCUCUAUAAGCUGUAACACUCACCAUAAAGGUCUUACAGCUUCAUUCCUGAAGCCAGUGAGACCACGAACCCAGCAGGAGGAACGAACAACUCCAGACGCGCUGCCUUAAGAGCUGUUAACACUCACCGCAAGGUCUGCAGCUUCACUCCUGAAGCCAGAGAGACCACGAACCCAGCAGGAGGAAUGAACAACUCCAGAUGCGCCGCCUUAAGAGCUGUAACGCUCACCGCGAAGGUCUGCAGCCUCACUCCUGAGCCAGCGAGACCACGAACCCACCAGAAGGAAGAAACUCCGAACACAUCCGAACCUCGGAAGGAAGAAACUCCAAACACAUCCAAACAUCAGAAGGAACAAACUCUGCACACACCGCCUUUAAGAACUGUAACACUCACCACCAGGGUUCGCGGCUUCAUUCUUGAAGUCAGUGAGACCAAGAAGCCACCAAUUCCGGACACAAUAUGAAGGGGGAAUCUGGAAUAUUUCAAGAUAAGGUCCAAUUCUUCCAUUGUCUCGUAAUCCAAUGCAGAGAUGUGAAAUGUAAGAUCAUCUGAAGGAGAGCUUUGGUUCAAGUCAAAUGCAUGCCUCAACCUAGCAGAGCCAAAGAGAUACUUGUAUGAUGUAAGUCAGAUUAUGUCAUUCUUCUGCUCAAAACUCUCCAAUAAAUAGCUCACCAUUCCCUUCAGAGAAAAGCCAAAGGACUUAAAAUGGCCAACAAAGCCUAUGAUCUGCACCCCCCUCCUCCCUCUACCUCACUUCAUCUUUCUCCCUGACUCACUUGGUUUCAGUCCUACUUGCCUGAUAUGUUCCCUCAAUUACACUCCCAUUUCAGGACAUUUGCACUGACUGUUUCCUCUGCCUGGACCCCACUUGCUCCAGCUUUGCACAUGGCUACCUCCCUUACUUUCUUCAGGUGCUUGCUAAAAUACCGUCCUCUCAAUGAGGCCUACCCUGAGCACCCUAUUUAAAAUUGUAACCUGCCGUUCCCUCCCCCUACAAGCUUUCAAAUUUCGUCAUCUUUUUUUAGUUUUUGCUAUAACAAUUAAUCACUUUCUAAUAUACUAAUUCUAAUAAGAAUUUACUUAUUUAUAUAUUUAUUGCUUAACGUCUAUAUCUGUCUGUGAGAAUAUAAGGCCCAUGAAGUCAGGGAUCUUUUUCUGUUCUUAACAUUGUUGUAUUCCAAAUGGGAGACUGUUGCUUGGCUCAUGGUAAUCACUCAGUUAAUAGCUGUCACAUUAAUUAAUCCUUGCCAUCUCUUCUGUGCUGGAAUUUGUCCAUGAUAGAAGCCUCCUGAUCUGCCAGACCAGUGUUGUCCUAAUAUUUUAUUCAGUCCAGAAUCUGUAAUGUUUUUAUUGCCAAUAAAGCAUGUGAAAGGAAAAUAAA